CCCGCACAAGCGGUGGAGCAUGUGGUUUAAUCGACGCAACGCGAAGAACCUUACCUGGGCUUGACAUCCCGAUCGUACCUGCUGGAAACAGCGGGGUCAGUUCGGCUGGAUCGGAGACAGGUGCUGCAUGGCUGUCGUCAGCUCGUGUCGUGAGAUGUUGGGUUAAGUCCCGCAACGAGCGCAACCCUUGUCCUUAGUUGCCAUCAUUUAGUUGGGCACUCUAAGGAGACUGCCGGUGUUAAACCGGAGGAAGGUGGGGAUGACGUCAAGUCCUCAUGGCCCUUAUGUCCAGGGCUACACACGUGCUACAAUGGCCGGUACAAAGGGCAGCAAAGCCGCGAGGUGGAGCCAAUCCCAGAAAGCCGGUCUCAGUUCGGAUUGGAGUCUGCAACUCGACUCCAUGAAGUUGGAAUCGCUAGUAAUCGCGGAUCAGCAUGCCGCGGUCGAAUACGUUCCCGGGCCUU
This 464-nucleotide ribosomal RNA is filed under the name uncultured Desulfuromonas sp. Its description in RNAcentral is "bacterial SSU rRNA". It matches the Rfam family "Bacterial small subunit ribosomal RNA", at positions 920 to 1382 of the family's 1533-position model. The record is from RNAcentral. Lineage: Bacteria; Pseudomonadati; Thermodesulfobacteriota; Desulfuromonadia; Desulfuromonadales; Desulfuromonadaceae.